AGGGUUUUACAGGGAAGCCAGGUGUGGAGGGACCUCAGGACCCAGUAGGCCUGUAUGGAAUCCACGGGCCUGUGGGCAUGCGUGGACUUCCAGGUGUGAUAGGAGAAAGGGGCGAGCCAGGUUUAAGAGGCUUACCUGGACCAGUUGGCAAGCCAGG
Scomber japonicus (chub mackerel) is the source of this 157-nucleotide long non-coding RNA. RefSeq lists it as uncharacterized. The record is from RefSeq and is a predicted model, not a curated record. Lineage: Eukaryota; Metazoa; Chordata; Actinopteri; Scombriformes; Scombridae. The transcript is spliced from 3 exons.